This 2623-nucleotide ribosomal RNA is filed under the name Triticum aestivum (bread wheat). Its description in RNAcentral is "partial small subunit ribosomal RNA". The record is from RNAcentral. Lineage: Eukaryota; Viridiplantae; Streptophyta; Magnoliopsida; Poales; Poaceae.
GAGAGGAUAGCGCUACUGUCCACCCGGCCAGGACGACGACCAGGGCGAGCAGUCGACGCGCCUGACGCAGUACCACCAACCAACACGCCUGACGCGGCCCAACCGACCCCGUACAAACGCACCUGGGGACGACUGAUUACGUAGCACACACUCAGGACGCACGGAGUGGAGGCAGACGCCAACCUCUCUCCUCUACCUGACCGUUUUAUAGAACGCUCGGGUGGAGGGCGCAGAGGUAGCUGGAUCGGCGGAGGUACGAGUACGUAGGAGGGCGCAGUUACCGCGGGUUUGGAGGAGUAGAACCUAGGGCACCCUGGCUCCACGCCCGUACCUCCGCUCGUAGGGACCGCCGGUGCCGCUGGAUGUCCGUUUCCCACCGCCACCCCCGCCGCGAGCUAAUCUAGACGCCCUCUCUCUCUCUCUCCUACUCUCCCUCUCUAUUCCUUCUUCUACUCCCUCUCUCUCUCUCUCUCUCUCUCUCUCUCUCUCUCACUCUCUCCUUUCCCCUCUCCUUCCCGAAGAUGCAGUGGCGAGAGACCUACGUGCGGUAGGUGGGCGUGUGCGAGCGGUGGUUGGAGCGGCUGAAGCGGUCCAAGCCGAAGGAGUUCCUGGAGGGGCUCUAGGAGAUAGCAAAGGAGGCACUGGGGGCGCUACUCGCGUUCCUGGUCCUGCUACAGUGGCGCCGCCGGGACCCCCGUUCUCGCCGUUCGCCGUUCGCCGCGCCGCAGCUGCCGGAACGGCGGCGCCGCCGCCUCCGGCGGUUCCGGGCCACGCUCUUCCUCCGCCUCGUGCGCGUCCUGCACGAGCGCGCGAUGCUGAGACUGCUCCGGAAGGCGUUGGAGAUGCUGCCGCAGCGGCUGGAGAAGCAGAUCGACGAGUUCAGCCCGGACCUCGUGGACGCGCGCCCGCUGUGCCGGUUCUAGCACAAGCGGCGGUUCACGCGAGCAGCAUGCGUACCCAGAGGAAACGAGGAACCCACGGCGACCGAUUCAAACAAAACCAGGACGCGUCAAGCUAAACGGAAUAACAGCGGACGGAGCUCGGCACUAAGGAAGAUUUAUUGUGACUGCGAUCCGUGACCAUCCUUAGGUCUCCUUUUCUUUGUCAUUUGGUUGCUACAACAAAGAAAAAAUCGGACGAGUUCCAAACGAGAAAGGAUGAAUGACAGUACCACCAACCAAGUGACGAGUAAAAUAACAAAGUCUUAAUCGUCGGGCAGCACAAAACUAAACGGAGCACGACGAAUAUAAAGCACAAACGCACACCCUUCCUACACACGAUAUCUAAAGUACACACCUAGACUCAAUGGAUCUUACCAACUCUUGGCUUUGUUGAAACAGCGACGUUACGCACACAUGACGAAAAUCUGUCGUUCAUGGCUAUUAGUCGAGGUUGUGAUUUCUAAGUAAAUUAAAAUAGUAGUAAAAAAAUUCUUAUCUAUUUACGUUGUUUACAGAUCCAUUCUAAUAGGUGAUGACUUAACAGAAAGUAAAACGGAAGGUUAAGUUCACGAAUGUCCUAUUGUGUACGUAAAAAAAGUUGGAAUGCUGUCAUGUUUAAAAAGCUUUUCCCAAAUUUAACCAAAGAAAACGCUCGCUACCCAUGUAUGUCAAACCCCUUUAUCCACAGUUCCAUGUUAUUGAGGAACUGCUUAGUCAUUAGUUCACAUUGUUUUACGACGUAUAAAUAUAAACCCUUCACUUGGUCCGAUGAGUAACUAAUUAUUUUCGAAAUAUCAAGACAAGAGGAAGGUAAGUAAAGAAAUCAUAAUAAGUAAAUAAGAGAAUCUAAUUUCCCAAUAACACUACUACAGGAUAACAAGACAUACAUAACCUACCUCCUACACAGCAGCUUGCUGGAGAAGGGAACAACGUUAAAGGGUGCAGGUACCUGUAACAGUAUUACCAGUGGAAUGCCGUCACAUAAUAAAAACCUAGAGCAUAAGGAGUUCCGCGAGGUAGGCGACUAAGCUACAGCCGGUUGGACUCUUUAUUAUCCUCGUUAUUAGGUCGUCUUCUUAAACCACUUCUUCUUGUUCUUUUCUUAUGGAAAUAGGACUAUCCGUACCUUUGUGGCCAAGCGUAACUCACGUAGUAGCGAUUAGUCGAUGAUACAUACUAGUCGCCUGUACGCACGAAUAAGGAUCUCGUUGCCUAUAUCUUCUUUAUACAUUUGUCAACAGGGAUCUUCUUUAUACGUUGUUGAAUAAGUCAUCUCUCGUUCCCUGUAUAUUCUUUAGAGGUCCGUCGAAGCGAAUCUACGUAGUAGAAGACGAUCCUGGAUCCUCAGUCGAACUUCUUGCUGGAAGAGUCCUCUGACGUUGACUGUACGACCUACCACUUAUUGGUUUAAACACCUGUUUCUGUUUCUCAAGUAGCGUUCCCCACCACAAAUCCUAUAUAUAUGUGUUUUAUCCUUUGAAAGAAAACAUGUCUUGGUUUAAUAUACUACAUUAACUGGUGAUAAAGAUUCUUUACAAGUAGCACAUAAUUCAUGUAAAAUAACACAGUGAAAAAAACUCCCCAUCGAAAUAAUUAGUUUGUGGUGUUUCACACGUUAUCUCCAGUAGUUUGGUUCGAAAUAACACAGUGGAUACAAAUGGAAGAAAAAAUGACACAAUGGA